UACGGAGGGUGCAAGCGUUAUUCGGAUUUACUGGGCGUAAAGGGUGCGUAGGCUGUUUUUUAAGUUAGGCGUGAAAGCCCCAGGCUCAACCUGGGAACUGCGCUUAAUACUGGAGAACUUGAGUACGAGAGAGGAAAAUGGAAUUCCUAGUGUAGAGGUGAAAUUCGUAGAUAUUAGGAAGAACACCAGUGGCGAAGGCG
This 200-nucleotide ribosomal RNA is filed under the name uncultured bacterium. RNAcentral's name for it is "partial 16S ribosomal RNA". It matches the Rfam family "Bacterial small subunit ribosomal RNA", at positions 524 to 723 of the family's 1533-position model. The record is from RNAcentral.